Molecule: ribosomal RNA, 570 nt
Filed under: Triticum aestivum (bread wheat)
Lineage: Eukaryota; Viridiplantae; Streptophyta; Magnoliopsida; Poales; Poaceae
Description: partial small subunit ribosomal RNA
Source: RNAcentral
AUGGGGAUAAAACAAAGUGAACUAUUUCUCAGAAGGGAAUUUUCCCCGGAAGACCCUCCACCAGGAGUCACCGCUCGUCGGGUCUCCGCCCCCUCUUUCUCCGCUCCCCCGAAUCAGAACUCCGACCUCCGACCUCCGGAGUCGCGCUCGGCGACGGCGCUGCCCUGCCACCUCGAGCAAGCAAGAGAGAUGUCUCUAAUCCGAAUAGCUUUUUCUUUGGUCCUCCUCCUCGCCGCGGCGGAGUCCGUGGCGGCGACGCGCUCACCGUCGGCCUUCGUGCAGAACGCCAUCUACUCCAACCGCAUCACCAUCUUCUCCAAAUCCUACUGCCCGUACUGUAUGCGUGCUAAGCGAAUAUUUAAAGACCUCAAUGAAGAUCCUUACGUUGUUGAACUUGAUCUCCGAGAGGAUGGCCGAGAAAUUCAAGGUGUUCUUCUAGACCUAGUUGGGCGCAAUACUGUGCCACAGGUGUUUGUGUAUGGCCACCACGUUGGUGGCUCAGAUGAUACAAAAACUGCUCUUUCAGACGGACAACUUCAGAAACUUCUUGGUAAGAGUCAGUCGCAGUGA